GGGCUGCCCUGUAAGUCAGGGAGCAUCUGUGUCCCGGAGUCCCAGGCCCUUUUCAAUGGCGGCAGUGGCCGGGGGUCCCCUGUAAGCAGGGAAGCUGACUCUUUGGCUGCUGCUUUUUGUGUGCCCAGCCCCAUUUGCCCAGUCUGCCCGCCUCUGUGAUCCCCCGCAGCACUGGCUGGAAGUCCGCCGCGUGUCAGUGAGGAGCUGCUGCAGAAGGAAGAAGAAGAAGCGGCGUGGGGACCUGGGAGGCAGGAGCAAGCAAGAAGAGGAAGCGGAAGCGUGCAGAUGCGGGGGGGAAGGAGAGAGGCUCCCUGGGCAAAGCACCUGUCCCGUUAGCAGGGGCACAGUCACGUUUGAGUUGAGAGCUGCC
RNAcentral lists this long non-coding RNA (370 nucleotides) under Gallus gallus (chicken). RNAcentral's name for it is "lncRNA (ENSGALG00010023553.1)". The record is from RNAcentral. Lineage: Eukaryota; Metazoa; Chordata; Aves; Galliformes; Phasianidae.